RNAcentral lists this ribosomal RNA (407 nucleotides) under uncultured bacterium. Its description in RNAcentral is "bacterial SSU rRNA". It matches the Rfam family "Bacterial small subunit ribosomal RNA", at positions 355 to 776 of the family's 1533-position model. The record is from RNAcentral.
UAGGGAAUAUUGCGCAAUGGGCGAAAGCCUGACGCAGCGACGCCGCGUGAGUGAUAAAGGCCUUAGGGUCGUAAAGCUCUGUUGAAUGGGAAGAAAAAAAUGACGGUACCAUUCGAGUAAGGACCGGCUAACUUCGUGCCAGCAGCCGCGGUAAGACGAGGGGUCCUAGCGUUGUUCGGAAUCAUUGGGCGUAAAGCGUGUGUAGGCUGCCAUUCAAGUCAGUUGUGAAAUCCCCGGGCUCAACCCGGGAAGUGCUUCUGAUACUGUUUGGCUUGAGUACUGGAGAGGAUAGUAGAAUUCCUGGUGUAGUGGUGAAAUACGUAGAUAUCAGGAGGAAUACCGGUGGCGAAGGCGGCUAUCUGGCCAUGUACUGACGCUGAGACACGAAAGCGUGGGGAGCAAACAGG